Molecule: unclassified non-coding RNA, 188 nt
Filed under: soil metagenome
Description: partial internal transcribed spacer 1
Source: RNAcentral
CAUAAUAAAAUAUGAAGGCUGUACGCGGCUGUGCUCUCGGGCCAGUUUUGCGGAGGCUGAAUUAUUUAUUACCCUUGUCUUUUGCGCACUUGUUGUUUCCUGGGCGGGUUCGCCCGCCACCAGGACCACAUCAUAAACCUUUUUUAUGCAGUUGCAAUCAGCGUCAGUAUAACAAAUGUAAAUCAUUA